Molecule: ribosomal RNA, 494 nt
Filed under: uncultured bacterium
Lineage: Bacteria
Description: partial 16S ribosomal RNA
Rfam family: Bacterial small subunit ribosomal RNA
Source: RNAcentral
GACGAACGCUGGCGGCGUGCUUAACACAUGCAAGUCGAACGGAAAGGCCUGCUUUCCCUUGUGGAUUGCGGGUACUCGAGUGGCGAACGGGUGAGUAACACGUGAGUGAUCUGCCCCCAACUUGGGUAUAAGCCUGGGAAACUGGGUCUAAUUCCCGAUAGGACUGCAGGGUGGUGCCUGUGGUGGAAAACGAUUUUCUAGUGGUUGGGGGUGAGCUCGCGGCCUAUCAGCUUGUUGGUGUGGUAAUGGCCUACCAAGGCGGCGACGGGUAGCCGGCCUGAGAGGGUGGACGGGCACAUUGGGACUGAGAUAAGGCCCCGACUCCGACGGGAGGUAGCAGUGGGGAAGAUUGCACAAUGGGCGGAAGCCUGAUGCAGCGCCGCCGGGUGGGGGAUGACGGCCUUCGGGUUGUAAACUACUUUCGACCGAGAGGAAGCCACCUGGUUGGAAGGGUGGUGACGGUAGUGGUAGAAGAAGCACCGGCUAACUACGUG